Molecule: non-coding RNA, 75 nt
Organism: Podarcis lilfordi (Lilford's wall lizard)
Lineage: Eukaryota; Metazoa; Chordata; Lepidosauria; Squamata; Lacertidae
Source: the annotation of a GenBank genome assembly
GAUGUUUGGAACUACAAUUCCCAUCAUCCCUGACCACUGGGGUCAGGGAUGAUGGGAAUUGUAGUUCCAAACAUC